This 73-nucleotide transfer RNA is filed under the name Candidatus Dojkabacteria bacterium. RNAcentral describes it as "tRNA-Thr". It matches the Rfam family "tRNA". Rfam says of the family: Transfer RNA (tRNA) molecules are approximately 80 nucleotides in length. Their secondary structure includes four short double-helical elements and three loops (D, anti-codon, and T loops). The record is from RNAcentral.
GCCAUCAUAGCUCAGCUGGUAGAGCACACCCAUGGUAAGGGUGAGGUCCGCAGUUCGACCCUGCGUGAUGGCU